This 406-nucleotide ribosomal RNA is filed under the name uncultured bacterium. RNAcentral describes it as "partial 16S ribosomal RNA". It matches the Rfam family "Bacterial small subunit ribosomal RNA", at positions 30 to 526 of the family's 1533-position model. The record is from RNAcentral.
AUUGAACGCUGGCGGCAGGCCUAACACAUGCAAGUCGAACGAGUGGCGGAAUGGUGAGUAAUGUCUGGGAAACUGCCUGAUGGAGGGGGCUAACGACUGGAAACGGUAGCUACUACCGCAUAAACUCCGCUGGGCCCAGAUGGGAUGAGCUUGUUGGUGGGGUAACGGCUCACCAAGGCGACGAUCCCUAGCUGGUCUGAGAGGAUGACCAGCCACACGGGAACUGAGACACGGUCCAUACUCCUACGGGAGGCAGCAGUGGGGAAUAUUGCACAAUGGGCGCAAGCCUGAUGCAGCCAUGCCGCGGGUAUGAAGAAGGCCUUCGGGUUGUAAAGUACUUUCAGCGGAGAGGCGUUACCCGCAGAAGAAGCGCCGGCUAACUCCGUGCCAGCAGCCGCGGUAAUAC